GUUUGAUCCUGGCUCAGGACGAACGCUGGCGGCAUGCCUAACACAUGCAAGUCGAACGAGAAAGUUCCUUCGGGAGCAAUUAAAGUGGCGCACGGGUGAGUAACGCGUAGACAAUCUGCCCUUCAGUCUGGGACAACUUUUCGAAAGGAGAGCUAAUACCGGAUAACAAUGUUUAACCUAAGUUAAGUAUUUGAAAGCUUUAUGUGCUGAAGGAGGGGUCUGCGUCCCAUUAGCUAGUUGGUAAGGUAAAGGCUUACCAAGGCGACGAUGGGUAGCGGGUUUGAGAGGACGAUCCGCCACACUGGAACUGAGACACGGUCCAGACUCCUACGGGAGGCAGCAGUGGGGAAUAUUGCACAAUGGAGGAAACUCUGAUGCAGCAAUGUCGCGUGAGUGAAGAAGGCCCUUGGGUCGUAAAGCUCUUUUAUGGGGGAAGAUGAUGACGGUACCCCAAGAAUAAGCACCGGCUAACUAUGUGCCAGCAGCCGCGGUAAUACAUAGGGUGCGAGCGUUGUUCGGAAUUACUGGGCGUAAAGGGCGCGCAGGCGGAAUAGUAAGUCGGAGGUGAAAGCCCGGGGCUCAACCCCGGAGGGUCUUUCGAAACUGCUAAUCUAGAGAGGGUCAGGGGCCGGCAGAAUUCCUGGUGUAGAGGUGAAAUUCGUAGAUAUCAGGAGGAAUACCGGUGGCGAAGGCGGCCGGCUGGGGCCACUCUGACGCUGAGGCGCGAAAGCGUGGGGAGCAAACAGGAUUAGAUACCCUGGUAGUCCACGCCGUAAACGAUGAGCACUGGACGUCCGGAGGGUUCGACCCUUCUGGGUGUCUCAGCUAACGCAUUAAGUGCUCCGCCUGGGAAGUACGUUCGCAAGAAUGAAACUCAAAGGAAUUGACGGGGACCCGCACAAGCGGUGGAUUAUGUGGUUUAAUUCGAUGCAACGCGAAGAACCUUACCUGGACUUGACAUGUUAGUGAAACUCCGGUGAAAGCCGGAGCCUCCGCGAGCUUGCUCAAGGACACUAUCACAGGUGAUGCAUGGCUGUCGUCAGCUCGUGUCGUGAGAUGUUCGGUUAAGUCCGAUAACGAGCGCAACCCUUAUCUUUAGUUGCCAGCACGUAAUGGUGGGGACUCUAGAGAAACUGCCCGGGAUAACCGGAAGGAAGGUGGGGUCGACGUCAAGUCAGUAUGUCCCUUACGUUCAGGGCUACACACGUAAUACAAUGGGAAGUACAGAGGGUAGCAAAACUGCGAAGUGGAGCCAAUCCCAAAAAACUUCCCCAAGUUCGGAUUGCAGUCUGCAACUCGACUGCAUGAAGCAGGAAUCGCUAGUAAUCGCGCAUCAGCAUGGCGCGGUGAAUACGUUCCCGGGUCUUGUACACACCGCCCGUCACGCCAUGGAAAUCGGUCGCACCCGAUGUCAGUGUCCUAACCUUUUGGAGGGAGCUGUCUAAGGUGAAAUUGGUAACUGGGGCGAAGUCGUA
This 1475-nucleotide ribosomal RNA is filed under the name uncultured bacterium. RNAcentral's name for it is "bacterial SSU rRNA". It matches the Rfam family "Bacterial small subunit ribosomal RNA". The record is from RNAcentral.